Molecule: long non-coding RNA, 1920 nt
Organism: Mytilus trossulus (common blue mussel)
Lineage: Eukaryota; Metazoa; Mollusca; Bivalvia; Mytilida; Mytilidae
Exons: 3
Source: RefSeq, a predicted model, not a curated record
CUCCCCUGUCACCAGUGAUUCUUUUUCGCUGACAUUCUGAAAAAAGUAUUGUGUAGUCCCUGUGACAAGAAAUAUAUAUAGAAAAAUAAUGAAAAAUAUAAACAGUUUCAAUAGAAAUGAGCGACAAAACAAGAUAAACAGAAUACAACAAGGCCUAAAUGGUCAAAUAUCUUGGUUUUUAUGAUCAUCGUCAGGUCCUGCAAGUCUAUACUGAAGAGGAAACUUAUUUAUUAAUACUUUUCUACAUAAUGUGCUAAUUGGAUUAAUUAAUGUGAAAUGAACUCAAUUGUGUGUUUUUCUGGAAAAAGAAAUAGAAAAAAUUCUACAAAAUUGCUAUAAACAAAAUGGAGUACUAUCAAAGAUGCACAAGAACACAAUGGUGUAAAAUGUAACAACCUACAUAUUCACUGAUGGAUUAUGGAGAAAUUAAGAAAAAAAAUAGUAUCUUUGUCAUGUUUGUUGUUGAAAUAAACACAUGCGUUAUCCAAUCAUGUACAUAAUAUUAUGUACAUGGCUCUCCAUCAUAUCAAAUAUACAGAGAAGAUGUUUGAAGAACAAGUUGCCAAAAUUUAUUCAACCAAUUGAAGGAAGAUGUCUUGUGGAUGGAAUUAUUUAUGCACUGAACUGUUAUGUAGGGGUUAGAAUAAUUAUACACAGCAGCUGAAACAGAAGACAAGUUAAUUUGACAUGAAAAGUGUUUAUUUUAUUUAAUAUGCAAAUAUAAGCACAAUAUUAAUAACAUCACAAAUAGUAUGAUAUUCAGUGUUUUGCUUAUUAUUGUAUUGUCUUAAACAUGUUAAACAGUCAGCUUUUUGUUUUUGUAUGUUUAAUACUCACCAUGAAAAAUUGUAUUAAAGUUUAUAUUAAUAUCUUUUGUAUCAAUAAUUCAGUCUAGGAGAAAAUAUAUUUAUACUGUUUGUACUGUUAUGAAAUUUCCAUAGAGGAAAAACAUUUCCUUAAGGGAAAUUUGAUGUUCAGAAUUUUCCUUAGAAGAAAUUUGAAGAACAAUGAUUUCCUUAGAGGAAAUUUCCUCAAAGGAAAAUUUGAAGCGGCAAAUUUCCUCAAAAGAAAAAGAAUUUCCUCAAAGGAAAUAAUUAUGCAGCAAAUUCCCUAAGGGAAAUCUUUUUCCCUUGAGGAAAACUCUUUUUCCUCUAAGGAAAUUGUUGAAAAAAGGGGCAUAACUUUUUCAACAGUGGUGCUAGAGCCAAACAUUUUUAGAACAAAUAUCAGAGAACCAAUACUUAUCAAGUUAUCAACUUUAUUUUGACUUAACUCCAGAAAUUAAGGUGACAACUUUUGCACUCAGCGGAAUUGCAAACUUGUCCCAGAUACUGUUAAUAUUCUUAUACAAGACCUGUUUAUUGUCUCUUGCUUAUGAUCUUAGAUAUAUAUUAUAAAUGCUGUAUGUUUAUGCUUAUGACCUUAGAUAUAUUAUUGCUGUAUGUUGAUUGUCACUUGCUUAUGACCUUAGAUAUAUCAUUGCUGCAUGUUAAUGCUUAUGACCUUAGAUACAUUAUUGCUGUAUGUUAAUGCUUAUGACCUUAGAUACAUUAUUGUUGUAUGUUGAUUGUCACUUGCUUAUGACCUUAGAUAUAUUAUUGCUGCAUGUUUAUGCUUAUGACCUUAGAUAUACUAUUGCUGUCUGUUGAUUGUCUUUUGCUUAUGACCUUAGAUAUACAAUGUAUAAUAUUGCUGCAUGUUUAUGCUUAUGACCUUAGAUAUACUAUUGCUGCAUGUUUAUUGUCACUUGCUUAUGACCUUAGAUAUACUAUUCAUGUUAUUUGUGCAGGUUUAUUGACAUUUGCUUAAGUUAUUUUAUUGCUGUUAGUUUAAUUUUCUGUUUUUGUUUCAUACAUUUUUACUUGAUGGUGUUAUCUCAGUGAAAGAUGAAAUAUUAAAACACAUGUGCCUUAUUUGUUA